This is a long non-coding RNA of Ostrea edulis (European flat oyster), 1564 nucleotides long. RefSeq lists it as uncharacterized. The record is from RefSeq and is a predicted model, not a curated record. Lineage: Eukaryota; Metazoa; Mollusca; Bivalvia; Ostreida; Ostreidae. The transcript is spliced from 3 exons.
ACAUCUUGAUGAUCAAGACUAUUCAAAUUGACGCGCGCUACCAAUUCGAAGUAGAGAAAAUUUCAAGAGAAAGCCAGCAUGUCGAGAAGAAGAGUUAUACUCCCAGGGAGAUUUGCCGACGAAAACAGGUGGUAUGUGAUACGAUUCUCGCAGACAAAUUAGAGGAGACAGGGGAAACGAGGGAGGAGAAAGUCCAAGCGCCUUAGACAGAUGGUGUCAUGUAUCAUAUGGAGAGAUUGAAUUUGAAAGUGCAUUUGCCAUUACAACAUUGGGGAUGGACAACAUAGACAUUCAUGAUUGUGAAAGCUAUAAAUACAGACUGGAACCAUGUACUGUGCUGUUAAAGAAAAUAGACUAUCUAAGUAGACGUCCAGUGCAUUAUUUCAUUUAAUUCAAAAGUCAACAUUGUGUAAUUUUUUUCAUGGAUGACAUUGAUUAUUUGAUCUGAAUUUGCAAAAAUUGGAUUGAGUGGGAAUAAGUGCUGUGAUUUCAAAUGAAAGCCAUGAUAGACACAUUGCUUUUUCAUCCAGAUGUAAGUAAAAUCAUAAAUGCAUGUUUUCAAUUCAUAUAUUGAAAAUUCAGUUUAUUGGAAAUGACUGACUUGUGGGUAAUUAUUAUUAAUUUUUUUUUAUAAUUAAAAAACUUAUAUUAUUGGGAACAGUAUAAAUCUAUGGCCAAUUCUCUAAAUUUGAUGUGUUUUUUAUGCAUAUUAAAUCAAUAUAAAUUGAUUUAUUUGUUAUUGAUGGUGUUGCAUAUAGUCAUAGAUUAUACUUUAACUAAAUGGUCUAGUGUGUAGUUUUUUGGCAAGGUAAAAGACACUUUUCAUGAAAGAAACCUACAAGCUACUGAAAAGUAUUAUCCUUUUAGUCACUAGCUGACUAGCUGUAAUUUUAUUCUAAGUAAUACUGGUAGAAAGUGGUGUGGUGUACCAGUUUACUAGACCAUGGUGAUAGUCCUUAUGGUAAUUAAUUUACUGCUUUCAGUGGGUUAAAUUACAAGCAUGCAUGAGAUAUGAAGAAGCACCAGUGAUUACAUUCUUUUAAAAAUAACCAUUGAUAUUUUAAAAAUGAAAUUGUCAUCAACUGAUUUUCUAUCAUAAAUCAUGUAAAUGCAAGUCAUUCCUCUUUUAAUUAACUGAUAUGAAUGCUAGAUGCAAGUUCAUAAUUAAUGUGUUCAUAAUUAAUGUAUUUAUGGCCAUUUGGGAGUUUUAGGGAGGUAUAUUUGAAAGCUGCCAGAGGUUUGCCACAAACUAUAUUAGGCUAUCUGAAAAUGUUUGCCAAAGGUUCGCCGCAAAGUGUAUAUGGCUAUCAGAAGUUUACCAAAGGUUAACCGCAAAACUUCACCAGAGGUUCACCAUAAACCAUUCCAUAUAUGGCAAUCUCAAGUUUGCGGCAAGUUUACCGCAAACUUCAUUUGCAUGGUAAAAAGUCGCCGUAAGGUUGCUGCAAACAGUCUGCCGUAACCUUGCCGCUAAGUUUGCAGCAGAUUCGCCGCAGUACUUCGCCAGAAGCCUUAUUUUUUGGUAAGGGCUUGCUUGUCCACGGACCAAGGACAAAAUCCACCU